Molecule: ribosomal RNA, 514 nt
Rfam family: Eukaryotic large subunit ribosomal RNA
UGAAACACGGACCAAGGAGUCUAACAUGUACGCAAGUCAUGGAGUUGCAAAACUCACAGGCGCAAUGAAAGUGAAGGUCAAUUUGGUUGGCCGAGGUAGGAUCCCUGGUUUACCGGGGCGCACUACCGUCCCAUCGCAUCUGCUUGUCAGAGCGGUGGAGAAAGAGCGUACACGUUGGGACCCGAAAGAUGGUGAACUAUGCCUGAGCAGGAUGAAGCCAGAGGAAACUCUGGUGGAGGUCCGUAGCGGUUCUGACGUGCAAAUCGAUCGUCAGACUUGGGUAUAGGGGCGAAAGACUAAUCGAACCAUCUAGUAGCUGGUUCCCUCCGAAGUUUCCCUCAGGAUAGCUGGCACUUAGAACGCAGUUUUACCCGGUAAAGCGAAUGAUUAGAGGCCUUGGGGACGAAACGACCUCAACCUAUUCUCAAACUUUAAAUGGGUAAGAAGUCUCGCUUGCCUGACCGAAGCUCAGACAUUGAAUGCGAGUGCCAAGUGGGCCAUUUUUGGUAAGCAG